Oncorhynchus tshawytscha (Chinook salmon) is the source of this 8072-nucleotide long non-coding RNA. The record is from Ensembl. NCBI's taxonomy places the organism in Eukaryota, Metazoa, Chordata, Actinopteri, Salmoniformes, Salmonidae.
UGAUGAAAAAUACAGGCCUCUCUCAUCUUUUUAAGUGGGAGAACUUGCACAAAUGGUGGCUGACUAAAUACUUUUUUUGCCCCACUGUAUGUAACAGAGCUGUGCAACACUUUAUUUGAUUAUUUUGUUUUGUUAGAAUGUUAGGAGUCUUAAUUGAAAGCAUUGUGGACGUUAUGUUGUAUGGGUUCAGCAUAACAAAGCAGUGGACUUCCCUUUUGGAACUGUGCAUUCAGGCUUUUGCUCUAGCCCUGCUCUAAAUACACCUGAUUCAUCAAAUCUAGGCCACCCCUGCCCAGGAAUCUACCUAGCAUAAACCAGGAAGCUGUAGACAGGAAGCUAUCUGAUCGCCAUGCAGCCUACACCAGUACAGUACCCCCACCAGUACUGAUGGGGAAAGCCAUGCUUGCAGUGUUCCCAUCACACCUCUUUAUAAAGCAUCAGAGUGUUUCAUGAAAUGGCUCAAAGUCAGAACACUUGAACAUUCACUUCAACACUGCUCUCAUUACGCAAUACCAACGUCAGAAUCACUGAGAAAACAACAACAGGUAUGUCUGUAUGUCUGCAGAUGAUAAAACCACAAAACAAUAUGUACCAAAACAGUUUGAUAAUUUUGGAUAAUCCAAAACAAACGAAGUAAACACAGUCAAAAAUAGCUGAGGAGAUUUAGAUGUCAUGCGUGAUGAACAGACAGAUAUCGAGGUGCCAUCUUCCUCUGCCAGUAACCCUGUGCUCUGUUCCAUGCCACUUCUUUGCCAAUAUUGACUUACUAAUCCUAUAGUUGUGACAGCCAAGGCUCCUGGCCCCACUUGACCUGCAGAGAGAAAAUUGGAGGUUGGUCUACAGAGCAUGGAGCUGGAGUGUGACCAGAGGACAACCAACAUCUUGUCUUUUUAACCCCUAACCAACUUCUCUCAGUUACUCUGAUCAUAUCACCACUAAAACUUACUUGCCCAUGUGGACACAGACAAGUAUACAAAGUGUGUCACAGUUGGCAAGACUGCCAAGGUAGUGGGUUCAAUUCCCAUAGGGAUCACAUACAGUUGGUGAGGGCAUACAUUUUUUGUAAGUGGCUUUGGAUAUAGGUAUCUAGAACAUGUACAGGUUUGGAGAACCCUUUUUGGUUCUAGUGUCACGUAUUCUCAAGGUGGGUGGAAUCAGGCGCAGAGAGCAGGUGAAGUGAUUCGACAGUUUAAUUCUCCGGCAAUCCAAACAACACGGUCAACCCAACAUACAGGGUGAAUAAUCCAACACAGGAUCAAAAAUAGACCGGAGGAAUAACACACACGUACUCCACCAAAAUACAUGAAAUACAAACAAUCCCGCACAAAACAAGGGCGGGACAACCUAAUACAUAUAAGGACGUUAAUUAAACUCAAAUACACACAGGUGAAACUAAUAAGACAAAACCAACAGACAAAGGAAAAAGGGAUCGGUGGUGGCUAGUAGGACGGUGACGACGACCGCCGAGCACCGCCCGAACAGGCAGGAGAGCCAACUUCGGCAGAAGUUGUGACAUCUAGGUAGAACCCUUUUGCUUCCAUGCAGAACCUUUUACACAGAGGGCUCAAGAUGGAACCCAAAAGGAGCCCUUUUUUCCUUUUUACUUAAGUUGCGUUUACACAGGCAGCACAAUUCUGAUAUCUUUUUUCAUUAAUCUGUCUUCAGACCAAUCACAUCAGAUCUUUUUCAGAGUUGAUCUGAUUGUUCAAAAGACCAAUUAGUGGAAAAAAAUAUCAGAAUUGGGCUUCUUCUGUAAAUGCAGUCAGAGAUACACAAAGACACACAGACACAAACAUUGUCUGGUCCAAUGACGUAAUGGGAUUCUGGCUAACAAAAGGCCAGUCUCCAUGGUGGCAGAGAGCACACGUGGUGAAACGAUGCAAACACACAGAAUAGAAUGGCCCCUGAUCCCUUAGUGGGUCCAGAGACUAACGUACUGCUCUGCAACCAUACUGCAUGGCACAACAAGAGAGAGAUAAAUAGAGAGUGAGUGUGGCACACCAAGCGAGUGCACUGUGUGUGUUGGCUGGGCUCCCUGCUUGUGCCAUCAAACCAUUGCAACAUAUCCAGAAUGCCACAGUUCGCCUGAGGUUCAACCAAGUUCUCCCAUGUCUCCCCGCUCCUCCACACACUCCACUGGCUUCCAGUCGAAGCUCGCAUCCACUACAAGACCACGGUGCUUGCCUACGGAGCCAGCAAGCAGGUAGCCUAGCGGUUAGAGCAUUGGACUAGUAACCGAAAGGUUGCAAGAUCAAAUCCCUGAGCUGACAAGGUAAAAAUCUGUUGUUCUGGCCCUGAACAAGGCAGUUAACCCACUGUUCCUAGACCGUCAUUGAAAAUAAGAAUUUGUUCUUAACUGACUUGCCUAGUUAAAUAAAGGUAAAAUAAAUUAAAACAUAAGAACUGCCCCUUCCUACUUUCAGGCUAUGCUCAAACCCUACACCCCAACUGGAGUACUCUGUUCUGCCACCUUUGGUCUCUUGGCUCUCCCACCCUGGAGGGAGGGCAGCUCCCGCUCAGCCUUCAAAGCUUGCCCCUGAAGCUAGCACAGCAGAGUCCCUGCCCAUCUUCAGAAAACAUCCGAGACCCUAACUCUUAAAAGAGUAUCUUAAAUAAUCCCACAGCACGCCCCCUCGCAAAUGUGUGCGUGCCUGUGUGUGUGGAACAGCAAGUGUGUGUCGCACAGUGUGUCUAUGUGUUGCCUUGUCCAAGCCAUGGGAACACAGAGAAAAGAGCUUAAACUUGCUGACAGCGCAGCAGCAAUUCUUCUCCCUCUGUUGUCUGUCUGCUUGGACCCAGCCCAGCACACCACACACAGAGCUCUAAAAAAAAUCAAAGGAGGUCAUUGUCAAAACGAGCUAUUAAGCAGAACAGACUGUGCAAGCCAAGUCGGGGGACUGCAUUUAGCAAGAGCCCCUGUGUUUCACCAGCUAUGGAAUUGUAUUUGGCAAAAUGGAGGUCUCGGGGGUGAUAGACUAGAGAAAGGCACCGAGCGCUGUGGACAGCGAUUGAGAUCGGAGUGCCGUACAGUGUUAUGUAACAAGAUUGGAACCAGUUUCCCAUGGACCAGGCAGCAAGAGACUGCUGAUGCCAGUGGUCUAGCAUUAGUAACCACUCCACUGAGGCAUAGAGCUGAAUAGGGCACUGUAAUUAGUCAGGGAUCCUUAUACCUAAGUGGAUGGAUAGAGACGGUCACAGAUCCCCCCAGUAUUGCUGCUCAUUCUGUUCACCAGUUCCGGAGGUCGACAUCACCGGCCUUCUAGGCUGCACUGUACUGUGUCAUUACGCACACCUGGUUCCAAUUCCUCACUGAUUGUAUUUGUAUAAAUGUGCUCUUUGUUUCCCCAUUGGACUGUCAAUUAUUGUUCCCAUGUCUGUUGGUGGCGUGAGUACCUAUGCGUUGUCUCAGCCUGUGUUGCGUGUUUUGUGCAUUGUGUAUUACGGGUCCCGUGGCGUUCUACGAGGUUGACCCUCGCUCUUUUGUUUGGGUACAUCCCAGUGUUUUGUAUACAUGUUUGUUUUGGGUGUAUUAAAACCCCGGAUUAUGUAUUCCUGCGCCUGUCUCCAAAUAAUUUAUACCAACGUGACAGAGACGCAUACAGUGUCUAGAGAAAGCCCACAACUGAGGCAGGCCUCAAAGUGACAAUACACAGAGAUGAUAGAAAAGCUGAGGAAGAUAUCUUUUUCAGUUUCUUCAUUGCUCCCUGGCAGGUCAAUACAGUAUAUGUGUGAUCAAAAUGCACUAUGCCGAACUGAACUUUUAUGCAAUUACGUUCAUUCUGGACUGCAUGGUUCCAUGGGUGCUGACUGAGCACAGGGCCAGCAGGAUAUGAACCUUGACCUUUGUCCAGUUUGACUUGGCUGGGAUGAUGUGGUCGACAGACAAACACCAAGGACCAAUGCCAACACAGCUUUCUGUGUCAAAGGGUGUCGGUCAACAGUAGACCCAAUUUCUAUUGGCAGGCUUUUACUGCUUAACUAUUACGAUCAGCUAAUUCCUAGAUCACCAUCGUAUCUUUUACAAUAAUUCACUUUGGUAACGCUUUACUUGACACCCAGUGUCAUAACACGUUAUUAUGACACGUCAUAACUGUAUCAUAAUACAAGCAUUUCACUUGAUUUGAUAUUUCUACAGCUGACAUAACUUGUCAUAACAUGAUCAUAACACUGUCAUGACACAUGUAUUUAUAGUAGUUGUGACAAUAUGGCGUUAUUUUAUGGCUGGUUUUGACACCUACAUAAGAGUUUAAAACCUACCACACAAGGCAAAACAUUCCAUUACUUGAAAAUAAAAGAGAGCCACACACUCCAGGAGCUCAGAUGCAAAAAUGUAAUUACCAACGUUUCGACAGCUUGGCUGUCCCUGAUGAAGACAGCUUGGCUGUCCCUGAUGAAGACAGCUUGGCUGUCCCUGAUGAAGACAGCUUGGCUGUCCCUGAUGAAGACAGCUUGGCUGUCGAAACGUUGGUAAUUACAUUUUUGCAUCUGAGCUCCUAGAUGGUGCGGCUCUCUUUUAUUUUCAAGUUUUCUACUCCACUAGCCAACACCUCGUCUUAAUAGGUGUGUGUUUCUUUUUCUUCUAUUACAUUCCAUUACACCAUAGCCUACUGGUCAGUAUGUUUAUGUUAUAUAGCAUUUUCAGAAAUGGACCAUAUUAAAUUAUCAUUGUAAUUGUGCACACAUUGAUGUCAGACCUGCAGCUACCUCACUGCUCUGCUUCUGAUGACUGGGAUGAAUGCAGAUUUCAGGAUUAGGACAAAACACCCUCUUUUUGACUGAUGACUGACAUAAGGCCAUGUACGUGAUAGGCCUGGGUGGAUUAUGUGUUUCUGAUGACUGACAUAAGGCCAUGUACGGGAUAGGCCUGGGUGGAUUAUGUGUUUCUGAUGACUGACAUAAGGCCAUGUACGUGAUAGGCCUGGGUGGAUUAUGUGUUUCUGAUGACUGACAUAAGGCCAUGUACGGGAUAGGCCUGGGUGGAUUAUGUGUUUCUGAUGACUGACAUAAGGCCAUGUACGGGAUAGGCCUGGGUGGAUUAUGUGUUUCUGAUGACUGACAUGACUGACAUAAGGCCAUGUACGGGAUAGGCCUGGGUGGAUUAUGUGUUUCUGAUGACUGACAUAAGCCCAUGUACGGGAUAGGCCUGGGUGGAUUAUGUGAUUCUGAUGGUCAUAAUGCUUCUUAAGUGUCAUAAAGUGCAUUUUCUUAGUCUAAGUAAUUAUGAUGAAAAAAACGACAGUAAAAAAUGUAUUACAACAAAGGACUUAAGAAACCAACUUUCAGGGAAAAAAGUCAAGCAAUGUCUUACCAAUUAUUUGGUCUCAAAAUCAUCCUAACUGGACGGUUCCAAAGUUUAUUUAGACAACCAAAAGGAUAUUUAGAUAUGAACAAAAGUUAUUUUGCAUUAACUUUACAUUGUUCAGUCAGAAGGUAACAGCAAAUACACAACAGAAUAUACUUUACAGAACAGAGUUAUAAUCGCCAGGGGUAUCAGUUAACUUUUCCUUUGCGGGAGACAAUAUUGGGAGACAGUCCAAUGCGUGGCCUACUUCCCUGUCUCCACGAAUGGUCAGUCAAUACCACACUAUGGGGGCUGAAACAUUGGACCUUUAGACUGGUCUGUUCGGAUUGGUCAAGGCACCAAUCACCUGGAUGACCAGGUAAAACCCUUGACCAAUCAGCAAGUAGAAAGGUGGGCAAACAUGGCCGGCUGACAGAGGGGCUAUGGCGUGAUUCUAGAGUGGCUGGGGCAGUGUGUGUAAGUUCCACACAGCACUGGGGAGUCCAAAGGGACCCUUUUUGUUUGAAUAACACAGAAAGAAAAAAGUACAAACAGGAAAAAGUAAACUAUACUGUGUUCUUUGGACACUGUGUUAACUAACCUCCAGACAAGCUUCAAUGCCAUUACAACUCUCCUUCUAUGGCCUCCAACUGCUUUUAAAUGCAAGUAAAACUAAAUGCAUGCUCGCCCGUCCAGCAUCACUACUCUGGACGGUUCUGGACAAUUACAAAUACCUAAGUGUCUGGUUAGACUGUAAACUCUCCUUCCAGACUCAAAAUAAGCAUCUCCAAUCCAAAAUUAAAUCUAGAAUCGGCUGCCUAUGUUGCAAGAAAGCAUCCUUCACUCAUGCUGCCAAACAUACCCUCGCAAAACUGACUAUCCUACCAAUCCUCGACUUCGGCGAUGUCAUUUACAAAAUAGCCUCCAACACUCUAUUCAGCUAAUUGGAUGCAGUCUAUCACAGGGCCAUCCGUUUUUUCACCAAAGCUCCAUAUACUACCCACCACUGCGACCUGUAUGCUCUCGUUGGCUGGCCCUUGCUACAUAUUCGUUGCUAAACCCACUGGCUCCAAGUCAUCUAUAAGUUUUUGCUAGGUAAAGCCCCUUAUCUCAGCUCACUGGACACCAUAGCAGCACCCACCCGUAGCACGCGCUCCAGCAGGUAUAUUUCACUGGUCAUCCCCAAAGCCAAUUCCUCCUUUGGCUGCCUUUCCUUACAGUUCUCUGCUGCCAAUGACUGGAACGAAUUGUAAAAAUCACUGAAGCUGGAGACUCAUAUCUCCCUCACUAACUUUAAGCAUCAGCUGUCAGAGCAGCUCACAGAUCAUUGCACCUGUAAACAGCCCAUCUGUAAAUAGCCCAUCCAACUACUUUGUACCCCAGUAUCUCUACAUGCACAUUCAUCUUCUGCACAUCUAUUAGUCCAGUGUUUAAUUGCUAAAUUGUAAUUACUUCGCCACUAUGGCCUAUUUAUUGCCUUACCUCCCUAAUCUUACCUGAUUUGCACACACUGUAUAUUAAUUUUUUCUAUUGUGUUAUUGACUUUACAUUUGUUUAUUACAUGUGUAACUCUGUGUUGUUGUUUGUGUUGCACUGCUUUACUUUAUCUUGGCCAUGUCGCAAUUGUAAAUGAGAACUUGUUCUUUAACUGGCCUACCUGGUUAAAUAAAGGUGAAAUAAAAUAAAUAAAUAGGAAUUUGGACAAUGAGAAAAGAAAAUAGUACAAGUCAACUUAUUUCAGCUUGUUGGUCAAUUUGUUUUUGUGCUAACUAAGCACUAUAUUUCCUCGACCAAGGAAUUUUUGUUUGCCACUUACAUUAAACGAGAGACUAUCUACUUUUACCUUUAGUCUCUUUCACCUGAUGUGGGUAAAAGUCAUCAAACAUAAUCAGCGAUCUACCCAAUGGACUCAUGCAAAAUCUGAGUGCAUUUCUCUAGUCUGCAGGAUUCAGGUUUGGAGUACACCAUGAUGAGAUGAUCAGAUACUGAAGUCUAAAGAGAUGCAUGUUCAAGGGCAGAAGCAUAGCCUGGAUACUCCUGAGAUAUGACCAAUGACUGUAUGGCAGGGACCCAAACUGGACUGUUAAAAACACCAGGAAAUCAGCUCCAAGUGAUUACAACUUUGGAAAUUUGUUAAAGUAUUCUCACGCAUAAUAGAGAUAUCACGUUUCAGGCAUGACCCAGAUGCAGACAGUGUCCCGGGUGGACAGCCAUACCUUCUGCCCGAGAUGAUACCGGGGAGCCGGGGUCCGGUGGCGAUCUGCUUGUCGUCGAUACCUGGAGGUGGUCUUGAGGAAGGCUUACCGGGCUCUCCUCCAGAUAUGACGACAGCGGAGGACAAACAUCUGGGCAGAUGGUAUGCCGACCUCUUCUUCCUGCUCAGGAAAGAGUGGGGGCUGAUACCCCAGUGAACACUCAAAAGGUGAUAGGCCCGUGGCAGAGCAGGGAAGGAUGUUGCGGACGUAUACAACCCACACAAGCCGUUGGCUCCAGGUGGUGGGGUUGGCGGAGACCAGGCAGCGCAGAGUAGUCUCUAGGUCCUGGUUGGCUCACUCCAACUGGCCGUUGGACUGGGGAUGGAACCCGGAGGAGAGGCUGGCCAAUGACCCAAUGAGGGUGCAGAACGCCUUCCAGACCUGGGACGAGAACUGAGGACCCCGGUUGGAGACCAUGUCUACCGGUAGUCCAUGGAUCUGGAAGACGUGCUGCACCAUGAGAUGGGCCGUCUCUUUGGCAGAGGGUAGCUUGGGGAGAGGAAUGAGGUGAGCUGCUUUGGAAAACUGAUCCACAA